GUAAGUGGGGCUCCUCCUAAGGGUAACACAACCUUCCCCAAAGCACCACCUGCUGGAACAUCCCUUCGUCAGAAACUGGGUCUAUGGAAGGACAUCGUACAUUAAAGUGCGGGUCCUCUCCUUGUGGGGACUGUGGAGAAUACCACAGAGAGUAAGAGAGCCACGGAGGAUGUGGGGCUGCGCUGCUGCAGUUUGGGGCAGAAUUUCCCAGAUUCUUCAAAGAUGGCUACUGGAAUAUCGAAAAUGUUCUCUCACACACUCUCCACUGGCAGAGAUUCAGAGUGAACAGGCUUAUCCUGGUCAUGAAUCGGGUGAAACUAGGAACCUGCUUUCGGGGUCGGAUGUCCCUCACCAGGCUGACAGGCUUGGACUAGUGGCUUCUUUUUCACCUCUUUCUAAUCGCGGCACGCGGGGAGCUGCGCAUGUGCAGAGGUAGUGUACUGUCCGUGAAAACCUGGGUAGCUAGGAGAGGCCGUAUUAACUACGCAUCUUGUUUGCAAACACUGGGGCU
RNAcentral lists this long non-coding RNA (511 nucleotides) under Mus pahari (shrew mouse). RNAcentral describes it as "lncRNA (MGP_PahariEiJ_G0005897.1)". The record is from RNAcentral. Lineage: Eukaryota; Metazoa; Chordata; Mammalia; Rodentia; Muridae.